UUGAAUCCCUAGGGGUUCAGUUCUGAACUGCGGCGCAAAAUGGAAGGCGUUCUUAUCGUAAAUCAUAAUAAGGAGACUUGAAAUAAUUAAGCGAACUUUAUUGCAGUACCUGUGCGAGCUGACGAGAGAGAGAACACGAACCUCCCCCUAAGUGUACAAUUGGUUUGACCUAAGAUAAGAUGGCGGUCCCUAGGUUUCCCGCAUUUCAUCCAGUUGGCAAGUCCUACAGUCUGCAAGCCGGUCCGCCUUUCGUGAAAAGAAGCAUGCGCGACCUGCAGAGCUGGAGAGCGAAGCAUUUUGGGAGUUGAAGUCUCGUUCAUUGGUCCCUCGUCUAGGGUCGGGGUUCCAGCAGCACAUUUUUUUCUGCUCACACUUCGAGUUCCGGAACAAGGGGAAAAAUCAGUACUCGAGGUGUUGAGCGAUGGAUCUCCUUGGGACCCUGGAGAUGACCACUGUUUCCGGUUUGGGCCUCCUUGCACAUCAAGCAAAUAGGGUCCCUUUGGGCGGCGGCUCCUGGAGGGAAAUGCGGCCUGGAUUUCCUGGAACACUCGGAGCUGGAGUCCCAGCGCUGGGAGGAGGAAAGCUGCUGGCAGCAGAACACCACCCCGCCCCCCAAACAUAACUGGUUUCUCUGGAAAAAGGGGGUGAGCUGGAGCCUCAGGAUUCCCGUUACAUUGGACGCUCCUAGAAGAGGUGCCUACUCCUGUGAUGGGCCGCCACGAGACACCCCUUCAGACAACUGUGACUCUGUGACCUUUGGGGCCCUGUGACCUUGGACAAGCCACAGGUUCCUGCUGGGAUCUGGUCUCCUCACGCCUUAGCCUGGGGCCUGUGACCAGGACCUGCCAAGGCCUGUGGAUGGUCCAGUGAGGGGAUAAAGCUCAGCACGAGCAAGUGAGGUGUUGGGGGGUGUUGGGGAGGCAGGUUUGGGGGAUACACUGGGGCAAGGGUGGGUUGAAGAUCCUCCAUCCUCCUUCAUUCGUUCAUGAGACAAAUAACUUGUUGAGCACUUACCAUUGUGCCAAGCACUGGCGCACAGCAGUGAGCACAAGAGACCAAGGCUCAAUCCACAGACAAAAGUCCCCGCAAAGUCAGGAGGAGAUGGGGAACAGUGAAGCAGGGUGUGAGGGCUGGCGGAGAGCCUCUGCUAGGGGACCGGAGAGCUGAGGCAUGAAUGAAGCGGGCUAGGCUGCAGAGGGGGCGGUGGGAUCCUAAGGCUCAGAGGUGGGUGCAGGUGAGGGAAAGAGGGGGAAGCCCAUGCUGAGAGAGAGGUGGGGGCUUGUAGCCCAGGAAGGGCCUUGGCUUCAUUCAUGGGAAACCACCAAGAGCCCUGACUAGUGCAGUGACAUGUCUGCAAAAUAACCCACAGGGGUUGGGGGUGGCGUAGGCGAUGCUGCAGGAGACGCGCCCUCAGAGCAUGGGCUUUGAGACCAGGCAAGGCUGCUUCCCAGCUCUGAGUGUGGGCAGGGAACUCCCCCUCUCAAGCCUCAGUUUCCUCCUUGGUAAAAGGGGGGCUCAUAGCACUCAGAUGACCAAGAAGAAGGACCAUGAAGGGUGUAGCGACAGCUUCCCAGGGUGGGAGUUGCUCUUUCUGUGAGUCUGAAGCCACUUGCUUGGGCAGAGCUCAAGGCUGGCUUUGAAUGUGAGCAUGGGUGUGGCUUUGAAUGAGGCUGCUCAACUCCCAGGGAUGUGUGGGGUCAUGACCUUGGAUGGGGAUACCCCUGAGUUGUCUGCAGCUGCUUUCCCUUUCUGAGGCCAGAGCUGGAUUUAGGAGAGCCACUAGGGUGAGGGAAGAGGGGCAAAGAGCCACCCUGAGAUGCAGAGGAGUCUGGGGGUCCUCCUCUACAGUCUCAGGUUGCCCUUCUGACUCAUCCUUCGCCCCCAGAGGGGGCUGGACCCACUGGUAUGCUCAGUCAGUCUCCCUCUCCCCUGAUCCUCAGCCGCCAUGAGGGAACACAGCAAAACCCAGCCCUGGCGCAAUGACGGGAAGGGUAGGAAAGUAGUGGUUUGUUGUGCCUGACGUGUCUGGACAGGGCCGCCUGUCGAGGAGAAGGGACCCCACCUGCCCGGGUACUGUGCUAAGUGCUGUCCUGCAUCAGUUGAAAGCCAGUGGAAUGAUUUCCUUCCACUCCAACUUUCAGUGGCCUCCUGUUGCCCUCCAGAUGAAGAACAGACUCCUGUCAUGGGUGCACAGGCCUCCUGGUUCUUCCUCAUUGAUGCCAACUUUGUUCCAGUAUCCAAGCCUUGCAUUGAUCCCUACACCAAUCCCCCUUGGCCAGGUAAACUUCUGUGCCCUGUUCAGCUCAGUUUUAACUGCCACUUCCUGGAGGAAGCCCAUCUUGACCUGCAAACUAGAUUGAGUUUCAUGUUGUUUGGUCCUAAGGUUGCCACCUCCUCUUCUGGCAACACCUAUCACUGUCGUAAUUUCAUGGUGUGAUUACUCGAUUAUUGACUAUCUCCAUGUUAAGACUGUAGUUAAUGAGGUCAGGGACGCUGUCUUGUUCACAGUGGUAGCCCCAGCGUCCGACACAGUGUCUGCACAUAGCAGAUGCUCAAUACAAGCCUAUGGGAUGAUGGAGGAAUCCUCUUGACAACCAGGGGAAGGAGGUGGUAUUAUUCUCUUUUUUACAGAUAAGGAACCAACAGCACAGAGAGGUUAAGUAACACGCCCCAAGGUCACACCGCCAGUGCACAGCCAGACUCAGAUGGUGUCUGUCUGGGGAUGACUCCCUGCCAGCAGGGCUCAGAAGGUGGGCAGUUGGGGUUAUGCAGAGAGGAACUAGGACCAUCUGGACAGGGAAGGGGUGUGGGGGCGUGCCCCACCCAUCCGUGUUUUCUCCUCGCUCUGGUGGUUCGUGGCUGUUUUCCUCAAGGGCGACUCAGGUGACCUUCAGGUUGGUCCCAGGGGCCGGCUGGGUGGAGGGCCUGGUCUGGCCCCGGCUGCUUUCCUCGCCCCUUUGCCCGCCCGCUGGCUUCACGCACAGAUUACAACUUCCCCUCCACGGCAGUCUUACGCAGGCCACCUCCGGCUCGCCAUUGUCUCAUUGUUUGCCGAGGGAAGCUCCAGGAGGAAAUUAACCUGCUGCUCACCCCAAGCAGGGAGUUUCACCCCCAGUCCCCACUGGGAAUGACUGGGGCCUGGGCAGGAGGGGGUGGGGGCAGGUAGUAGACAAUACAACAGGCAGCCUUGAGAGGAGUGAGCUCCCAGGCAGGGAAAAAUGCAAGCAGAAGCGCCAUUCCCUGGCAGAUUUACUGGGCCGUAUUAUGGGCCAGGCUGUGCAUAAGGGAACUGGAGACACAGAUGUGAGACAAAGGUCUUCUUGAGGGCCCUGCAGCUGAUGGGAGCUGCUGUGUGGGGGCCUCAGGGCCAGAUGGCUCUGCAAGCUGGACAGGUAACCAAGUCUGAGAGCGUGUGGGCAAUGGGGAGUGGUGGGGCAUAGAGCAAAAUGAAGACUGAGGGCAUCUCCUAAAGGCCUUUAGAUCCUGAUUUCAUUUUAACAAGGUGCUGAUGAAAAAAUGCUCAAAAUCCUUCAAGUUGGACUUCAGCAAUAUGUGAACCGAGAACUUCCAAAUGUACAAGUUGGGUUUAGAAAAGGCAGAGGAACCAGAGAUCAAAUCGCCAACAUCUGUGGGAUCAUAGAGAAGGCAAGGGAAUCCAGAAAACAUCUACUUCUGCUUCAUUUACCAUGCUAAAGCCUUUGAUUGUGUAGAUCACAACAAACUAUGGAAAAUGCUUCAAGAGAUGGGAAGACCAGACCACCUUACCUGGCUC
Molecule: long non-coding RNA, 3772 nt
Organism: Cervus elaphus (red deer)
Lineage: Eukaryota; Metazoa; Chordata; Mammalia; Artiodactyla; Cervidae
Exons: 3
Source: RefSeq, a predicted model, not a curated record